RNAcentral lists this ribosomal RNA (884 nucleotides) under Porites sp. XNL-2012. Its description in RNAcentral is "partial 12S ribosomal RNA". It matches the Rfam family "Bacterial small subunit ribosomal RNA". The record is from RNAcentral. Lineage: Eukaryota; Metazoa; Cnidaria; Anthozoa; Scleractinia; Poritidae.
CGUACUGGGGUACGUUGUAGCGUAGCGAGAGCAGCGGUACAUUUUUUGUGCAAUAUACGAAAGUAAGACACAGAGAGGGCACCUUUUCUAGUCCGUCAAAUUAAGUGCCAGCAGACGCGGUGAAACUUAAGGGCUAGUCUUAUAGGCAAAAGCGUAAAGGGUGUGAUAGGCCGCCUUAUUUAAGAGAGUAAAUGGAAUUUUUCUGUAAUGGUGGUAUGUGUAAAUAGGAAAAAGAACUUUAGACGUGAAGACUAUUUACUUCUAAGAUUAUAAUGUGUUGGCUAAAACACGAGAGUGUGGGGAGCAAACAGGAUUAGGUACCCUGGUAGUCCAUACUGUAAAUAAUGAAAAAGAUGUGAAGCAAUUCUAAAAGGUAAGAACUUUUCCGCUUGAGUAGUACGAUCGCAAGAUUAAAAUUCAAAAAACUUGGCUGUUCACUGUUUUGAUUAGAGGAGCGUGUCGUUUAAUUCGAUAGUCCGCGAGAGACCUUACCCAAACUUGAAUCCCUCAUUGACAGGUAUUGCAUGGCCGUCGUCAAUUUGUGUAUUAAACAUAAAACAAAUUCAACCCAGUGGUUUGUCUAUUGGAUGAAGUCAGGUCUUAUUGUCCUAAUGUUUGGGGAUUAGAUGCGCUACAUUUUUUUAUACAAUGGGAAACUUUGAAUGUGAAACCCAAAAAUAAGAGUUCGGAAGGUGCCUGGAAUAUAACGGAAAGUUGGAUUUAAUAGUAAUUGAAAAGUAGAGCGUUUCAAUGAAGUUUAUUCAGUGUUAGUACAAAUUGCCCGUCGCCUUUGCUUAGAAAGGUUGUUUGGUUGCCCCUCAAGAGGGUUCCUAAUAUCUUCGAGGUAGAGUAAGUCGUAACAUAGUAGGGAGAGGAGGACACAC